Molecule: ribosomal RNA, 505 nt
Filed under: Gonophora nigrimembris
Lineage: Eukaryota; Metazoa; Arthropoda; Insecta; Coleoptera; Chrysomelidae
Description: partial 16S ribosomal RNA
Rfam family: Bacterial large subunit ribosomal RNA
Source: RNAcentral
GUCUUAUUGAUUAUAAUUUUAAGUCUUACCUGCCCACUGAUUAAUUAAAUGGCCGCAGUAUUUUAACUGUGCUAAGGUAGCAUAAUCAUUAGUUUCUUAAUUAGAAGCUGGAAUGAAGGGUUUGAUGAAAAAGUAACUGUUUCUUUAUUAAUUGUUUUGAAUUUUAUUUUUAAGUAAAAAAGCUUAAAUAAAUUUAAGGGACGAGAAGACCCUAUAGAGUUUUAUAAUAAGGUUUUUAAUUUACUUUAGUAUUAAUUAUUUAAAAAUUUUAUUAUUUGGUUGGGGUGACAGAAAAAUUAAGGUAACUUUUUUAUUUUUAUUACAUUAAUUUAUGAUUUUUUGAUCCAUAAUAGUGAUUAAUAGAUAAAUUACCUUAGGGAUAACAGCGUAAUAUUUUUUUUGAGUUCUUAUUAAAAAAAAUGAUUGCGACCUCGAUGUUGGAUUAAGAUUAAUUUAUGGUGAAGUUGCUAUAAAAUUAGGUCUGUUCGACCUUUAAAUUCUUACA